RNAcentral lists this ribosomal RNA (573 nucleotides) under uncultured bacterium. RNAcentral's name for it is "bacterial SSU rRNA". It matches the Rfam family "Bacterial small subunit ribosomal RNA", at positions 36 to 641 of the family's 1533-position model. The record is from RNAcentral.
CUGGCGGCGUGCCUAACACAUGCAAGUCGAACGAGAAAGUGGAGCAAUCCAUGAGUACAGUGGCGUACGGGUGAGUAACACGUGACUAACCUACCCUCGAGUGGGGAAUAACUUCGGGAAACCGAGGCUAAUACCGCAUAACAUCUACGGAUCAAAUGCGCAAGCAGCUUGAGGAGGGGGUCGCGGCUGAUUAGCUAGUUGGCGGGGUAACGGCCCACCAAGGCAAUGAUCAGUAGCCGGCCUGAGAGGGCGCACGGCCACACUGGAACUGAAACACGGUCCAGACUCCUACGGGAGGCAGCAGUGGGGAAUUUUGCGCAAUGGGGGAAACCCUGACGCAGCAACGCCGCGUGGAGGAUGGAGCCCCUUGGGGUGUAAACUCCUUUCGAUCGGGACGAUUAUGACGGUACCGGAUGAAGAAGCACCGGCUAACUCUGUGCCAGCAGCCGCGGUAAUACAGAGGGUGCAAGCGUUGUUCGGAAUUAUUGGGCGUAAAGGGUGCGUAGGCGGUGCGGUAAGUCUUCUGUGAAACCUCCGGGCUUAACUCGGAGCCUGCAAGGGAAACUGCCGUGC